UGCAUCUAUUGUUGGUCUGGUUGGCAAUGUUGGACAAGCCAAUUACAGUGUUGCAAAAGCAGAGUGUCGCAAAGGAAUAUUCAAGCAGAAAUGUAAAUGUGAGUGUUUCACAAGUUUCCGCUAGUAAGUUGACACAUCCCCUUCUGCAGUAAGUGCUAAAAGUAAGUAUUUUUCAUGGGAUUACUCCACGUCAAUGUGUGCCCCAGGUUUCAUUGCAUCCGACAUGAUGCCAAACUUGGAGAACAUUGAGAAGAAGAUAUUGGAAACCAUCCCCUUGGGGAGAUAUGGCCAACCUGAUACGUUUCCACAUCAAAGUGAAGUAUAACACUUAACCCCCUUUUCUUUCA
Macadamia integrifolia is the source of this 347-nucleotide long non-coding RNA. RefSeq lists it as uncharacterized. Lineage: Eukaryota; Viridiplantae; Streptophyta; Magnoliopsida; Proteales; Proteaceae. The transcript is spliced from 2 exons. The record is from RefSeq and is a predicted model, not a curated record.